This is a long non-coding RNA of Eubalaena glacialis (North Atlantic right whale), 7303 nucleotides long. RefSeq lists it as uncharacterized. Lineage: Eukaryota; Metazoa; Chordata; Mammalia; Artiodactyla; Balaenidae. The transcript is spliced from 8 exons. The record is from RefSeq and is a predicted model, not a curated record.
UCCCCGCUGGUCGUCGUUCUCAGGCUCAGAGCCGGCUCCUCGGGCCCAGUGGCCUCGGGAGGCGGAGAGGAGGGACCCCGGGAGAGGAGCGCGCCGGAGGAGCAGCCCCCGGCCCGGAGCCUCGGGAGCCCGGUGCCGGUCCGCGAGUCCCGACUGGGUCCGCCUCCACUGUCACAGUCCUGCACGUUGUUCCAAGAGCAGCGGAAAAUGAAUCGGUGCGGAGUGAAGACAAAUGGGCCAUUGAGUCCCUGGUCCAGGCGGCCCACCCUCGCAGCACUGCAGUUCUUCACCGCCAGGUGUGCUGGAGACACUUAUGACGCUCGGUAACUUGACGGCGCGGAGACUUCUGGGAAAUAGAGUCCUGGUGCUUGUCCCGCUCUCCGGGCGGGCUUCGGCAGGCGGAUUUCCGGCGUCCCCCUGCGCAGGCGCGCGUCACGGUUCGUGCGUGUUGGCGCACGCGCACCGUUGCCGCGCCGCCCUCGCUUCCAGUGUGUGCCGAGGUCCCUGCUGGUCGUCGUCCUCAGGUCCUGGCGGCUGGCGGGCUCAGAGCCGGCUCCUCGGGCCCAGUGGCCUCGUGAGGCGGAGAGGAGGGACCCCGGGAGAGGAGCGCGCCGGAGGAGCAGCCCCCGGCCCGGAGCCUCGGGAGCCCUGGGCCGGUCCUCGAGUCCCGACUGGGUCCGCCUCCACUGUCACAGUCCUGCAUGUUGUUCCAAGAGCAGCGGAAAAUGAAUUGGUCUCCGCUGUGCUGCAUAGCGCGUGGGAUCUCAGUUCGCCGACCGGGGAUCAAACCUGCGCCCCCUGUAUUGGAAGGUGGAUUCUUAACCAGUGGACCACCAGGGAAGUCCCUAAAGUAUUUUUUUUUUUUAACAUCUUUAUUGGAGUAUAAUUGCUUUACAGUGUUCUUAGUUUCUGCUGUAUAACAAAGUGAAUCAGCUGUAUGUAUACAUAUAUCCCCAUAUCCCCUCCAUCUUGCGUCUCCCUCCCACCCUCCCUAUCCCACCCCUCUGGGUGGACAGAAAGCACUGAGCUGAUCUCCCUGUGCUAUGCGGCUGCUUCCCACUAGCUAUCUAUUUUACAUUUGGUAGUGUAUAUAUGUCCAUGCCCCUCUCUCGCUUUUUCCCAGCUUCCCCUUCCCCCUCCCCGUGUCCUCAAGUGCAUUCUCUACAUCUGCGUCUUUAUUCCUGUCCUGCCACUAGGUUCAUAAGAAAGAACCACUUUUUUUUCCUUUAGAUUCCAUAAAUAUGUGUUAGCAUACGGUAUUUGUUUUUCUCUUUCUGACUUACUUCACUCUGUUUCACAGACUCUAGGUCCAUCCACCUCACUACAAAUAGUUCAGUUUCGUUUCUUUUUAUGGCUGAGUAAUAGUCUUCUGAAGCACGUGUUGUUAUUAUUUUGACCUUCAUGACACAGGAGAUCAGAGGCCUAAGAUAUGGCUGAGCUGGAAGGUGACUGUAUGGGCGUCCCAGGGCUGCUGUAAGAAAGCACCACAAACUGGGUGGGUUAAAAUAACAGACAUCUAUUCUUCCACAGUUCUGAAGUCCAAAAUCAAGAACUUUGAUAUAUCCAUCCAAUUUUGUUGAACACCUGCUGCAUAUCCAGUGCUGUUUCAGAUAUGUGUUGAAGCUAUGAGGGCUAACUAGACAGACGGGGUCCCUGCCCUCGAGGGGCCCACCCACAUCCUAGUGGUGAGAGAGACAGCCAACAAGAGGACAAAUACAGUAACUACACGGUCACUUAAGAGCCAAGAUGGAAAUGAACAUGGUGCUGAGAUGGCAGGAACCUUCUGCUCCAAGUGUGGUGACAGGGGCCCAGAAGUGCCCCCCGAAGGAAGGGAUCUGGAUUGGUUUGCGAGGACUGCCGUAACCAGUCUUGCCCAAGGUGAGGGUGCCGGAAAGGGCAGAGCCCUCCAGACCCGGGGCCUUAACCGUUCAGCUGCGCCGUUUCCAAACAACCUCAUUAGUCCCCCUGCUGGGGUGGAUCGCCCAAAGGGCAGGGGGGCUUUGAGGCUAAUGUUGGCCCCGUGAGUGUCCUCUCAGGACCCCGCACGCUGCCGAGCACAUUGCAGGCCCUCUGCAAGGACAGCUCCUGGCUGUUCGUGAACCACCUGAUGGAUGCCCGCAGGCACUGCACAUCCUUAUGCCAUCUGGGGAUUUCCCAACACCCCCUCUCAGGAGGUGCAUCUGAACCUCAAACAAACACUUCUGGGAGGUCAGCAGGGGGUUCUUGUCCAGGCUUCUGUUUGGAUCCACAAAGACUUUCUGGGCACCUCUCUGGGUCAGGCAUGAGACACUUCCAGUUUGGUGGGGAAGCGUCAAGACCCAUGAGCAGACCGAUUCAAUAUGGCGGGAGGUUGGACCCAGUGCUUUAGGAGCAAGAGGCGGAGCACUGAAUCCCAGAGGGGUUUGGGAGGAGGUGACACACCUGAUCUGGGGAUUUAAAAAUUUAUUUAAAAAAAAUCAAAUUCAUAUAUGUACAUGCUUGAAAAAGUGGAACAGUCCUACAUGGUUUACAACAAAAUUAGUGGCACCUUGCUCUACCUGACCCACUCCAGUUUUUCCCUCCAGUGUCCAUUUUCAACCCAUUUAGAAGUUUCUUCUGGUGUUUAUAACCGUGUUACUAAAUGACACACUUAUCCUACUGUUUCCUGAUGAGAGUUCAGGUCUCUGACAUCCUCCUGGCCUCACACCCACUUCCGGCCUUCCCAAAACAUCGAAAGGAAGGAUUCCCAUUUGGUGUUUGCAUCAUCAUGACCUAAGUUCUUACAAUUCACGCUGGAGCCACACACACUUCUAUGCUUCCGUUUCUGUUCUUGACAUUUUUUCAUUUUCUCUGGAUUCAAUAGUUCCUUUUGUAAUUUGAUGAGUUCUCUGUGUUCCAUUAUCUGUUUUCCACCAGCACCCUGGACCUGGGCACCUUCUUCAUUUUCUUCCCAGCUUUACUGAAAUAUAAUUUACAAAUAUUGUGUAGCUUUAAGGUAUACGAUGUGAUGAUUUGACACACGUAUGUACUGUGAAAUGUUUACCUCAGUAAGAUUAGUUAACACGUGCUUCACCUCCCAUCUUGCAGCUUUCUGAGGGAUGAUUUUGCAUAGGGAUAUAAUUUUUUAAGCUGUGUACACUAGAGUCAGGCUUUCCUGUUGGCAGCACGAGCUCCGGGUAGCCUUUUUUUCCCUUCCUCCUGGAUUGAUCAGAAAUUUCAGUUUCUAAGGCAGCCCGAGUAUUCACCAUCAGGUAGUUUGCACGCACUUGGAUUCUCUUAAGAACUGCUAAUGCCUGCAGUUUUUUCCACGAUCUACUCCACCACUCGUACCUGUGACAUCUUUUGGGAUUUGAGAGGUGGAACAAGAGCUUUCUGCUUUGCAUCUGUGCCAUCAAAGGAGGCACCUAGUGGGUGGUCAGAGCACGAGUGAGUGUAACUGAGGCAAGGUGGUGGUUGUCUAUCGACUUCAGAUGUUUAACUGCUAAAUAAAUUGUGUUUUCCUUCUUUAAAAAACAAGGCAGAAUCAUUUAUACGAGACCACUAGAAAGGAGAUGAUUUGACAAAAUUAUUAAACAUUUAACUGAACGGAAUGUACUGGGUGACACUGAAUUUGGGCUGAGCCUUUGUGGUUCCUCCAGGGCCUGGCCCCUGAGCUGAAGGUCAUGAGCUGCAUCCAGAUGACCUUGCGAGCAGGCUGCUCUCUGCCUCGGAUUUCCUUUCCUGCAGAUGUGGAGCUUGUAUCUCAGAUCCUGAUUCUCCCGAUGGAGGUCUUCAUUGUCUCCUUACUGUCUAAGAACUUCCUGAACUCUCUUCCCUCUGAAGAAGCAAUAAUUUCCUCUCCACCUUUUCCAGAUGAACUCCUUAGUGGAUGCACCCCAAGACCCACAUUUCUGGGGCUCUCUUUCACAAAGUUAAAGCAUCCAAUAUCACAGCAGCAACUCAGCGACAAGAUCUUUUUUUUUUUUAAGUUACAAAAGUGAAAACUCAGGGUAAGUGUUUCCAUCUGCACUGUCUUUUGCUGAGCUGUGGCAUCUCCCCAUCUUUUCGGUGUUGAGCUAGAAAACUAGAAGGGAAGUCCACUCUGUCACUCACUCACUUUCUCACUCACCACACGCCCCUUAGACUUCUUUACAUUUGCUAGACAAAAAGAGGUCACUGGUACUUUAACUUCCUAAUUAAUUCUGCUAGAAUUCAACAGAGGGCUCAUGAGAUAAAUGAAAAGGCUGCUUAACUAGGAGAUCAAAGUGUGUGCGGGCCACGCUAAUUUCCCCUCACACGUCCAUGGAGGAUUAACUCAGAGGUUAAUGAGAUUUUAGCGAUAACACGAGCACAAGCAAAAACCCUCCAGAAAGACAAGGAGUUACUUAGUAUUCAUUGCCAAGGGUGAGUGUUUAGUAUCUACAAUACUCAAAGAAAAUUCAAGAGUGAUUUUAAAUUCUGUUUCAAACAUCUCCUUUAUUUUCUCUCCUUUCCUCUAAGACAUCUCUGAAUAAGAGCUUCCCUCCAACUGCCAGGGAAAAAUAGUAAGCCUGAUCUCACAGGAGUCAAGUCAUUUUUGCCCCUAGUAGAGGUAGGGUUCAGGACGUUUAGAUUAAUCAAAUUUUAUUUUGUUUCUCUUUGCAGAGUUUUUGGGAUUUUUAACAAAAAAUGUUUCAAAAAGUAUAGAAAAAUGGACCUAGAGAUUAUCAUACUAAGUGAAGUAAGUCAGAAAGAGAAAGACAAAUACCCUAUGAUAUCGCUUAUAUAUGGAAUCUAAAAUAUGGCACAAAUGAACUUAUCUGUGAAACAGAAACAGACUCACAGACACAGAGAACAGACUUGUGGUUGUCAAGGGGGAGGUUGGCAUUAGUAGAUGCAAACUGUUAUAUACAGGAUGGAUAAACAACAAGGUCCCACUGUAGAGCACAGGGAACUAUAUUCACUGUCCUGUGAUAAACCAUAAUGGAAAAGAAUAUAUAUAUGUAUAACUGAAUCACUUUGCUGUACACCAGAAAUUAACACAACAAUGUAAAUCAACUAUACGUCAAUAAAAUAAAUUUUAAAAAAUGUAUGGGAACAUGUGGGGGGGUCAGUAUUCUGGAAGCUUCCAUUGCAUAGACUUGUUAUGAUGUGGCGCCCCCUUGUGGUGUGGAGGACAAUCUCAGUCCAGAGCUUCUUGAGAUGAAGCCACCUAUCGUAAAGCUUUGGAGGCUUGUUCUAACAGGGAUCCUGGAUGUCAGCAGGGAUCCAGGUCCACAGCCUGAAUCAGGCCUGGAGAGCUGUAGGUCAUCACUUUUCUCCAGACUUUGAGGCCCAGGGACCCCUGGCAUCACUUUCUGUCCAGUGUCUCAAUAUUCUCCUUUCUCCAUUUUCCUUCCUUAGGGCACCUUUAACUGCAUAAAAUGCAUUAUUCCAGAACAUUCUAACAUGUGGUCAUAAAUGCCUGCCAUUACCCCUUUCCCACAUGAUUCACUUGUAAUGAAAAGCAAAAGUCCUUCUACAGUAAUCACAACAGUAUGGUAAUGGUGCAAAAACAGAUAUACAGAUCAAUGGAACAGGAUAGAAAGCCCAGAAAUAAACCCAUGCACCUAUGGUCAAUUAAUCUAUGACAAAAGAAGCAAGAAUAUACAACAAAGACAAACUCUUCAAUAAGUGGUGCUGGGAAAACUGGACAGCUACAUGUAAAAGAAUGAAAUUAGAACGUUCUCUAACACCAUACACAAAAAUAAACUCAAUAUAGAUCAAAGACCUAAAUGUAAGGCCAGACACUAUAAAACUUCUAGAGGAAGACACAGGCAGAACACUCUUUGACAUAAAUCACAGCAAUAUCUUUUUGGAUCCACCUCCUAGAGGAAUGAAAAUAAAAACAAAAAUAAACAAAUGGGACCUAAUGAAACUUAAAAGCUUUUGCACAGCAAAGGAAACCAUACACAAAAUGAAAACACAACCCACAGAAUGGGAGAAAAUAUUUGCAAACAAAGUGACCAACAAGGGAUUAAACUCCAAAAUAUACAAAUAGCUCAUGCAGCUCUAGGUCAGAAAACCAAACAACCCAAUCAAAAAAUGGGCAGAAGAUCUACAUAGACAUUUCUCCAAAGAAGACAUACAGACGGCCAAAAAGCACAUGAAAAGAUGCUCGACAUCACUAAUUAUUAGAGAAAUGCAAAUCAAAACUACAAUGAGGUAUCACCUCACAUCAUCCAAAAGUCUACAAACAAUAAAUGCUGGAGAGGAUGUGGAGAAAAGGGAACCCUCCUACACUGCUGGUGGGAAUGUAAAUUGGUACAACCAUUAUGGAGAACAGUACGGAGGUUCCUUAAAAAACUAAAAAUAGGGACUCCCUGGUGGUGCAGUGGUUAAGAAUCCGCCUGCCAAUGCAGGGGACACGGGUUUGAGCCCUGGUCCGGGAAGAUCCCACAUGCCGCGGAGCAACUAAGCCCGUGCACCACAACUACUGAGCCUGCACGCUAGAGCCCGUAAUCCACAACUACUGAGCCCGCUUGCCAUAACUACUGAAGCCCGCGCGCCUACAGCCCAUGCUCUGCAACAAAAGCCACCGCAAUGAGAAGCCUGCGCACCGCAACGAAGAGUAGACCCCGCUCACCGCAACUAGAGAAAGCCCAUGCGCAGCCACGAAGACCCAACGCAGCCAAAGAUAAUUUAAAAAAACAAAAAAGAAAAGAGUUUAAAAAAGACAAAAUAAAACCCCCUAAAAAUAGAGCUACCAUAUGAUCUAGCAAUUCUACUCCUGGGUAUAUAUCCAGACAAAAUUAUAAUUCAAAAAGAUACAUACACCCCUUUGUUCAUAGCAGCACUGUUCACAAUAGCCAAGACAUGGAAGCAACCUAAAUGUCCACUGACAGAUGAAUGGAUAAAGAAGAUGUGGUAUAUAUGUACAAUGGAAAAUUACUCAGCCAUAAAAAAGAACAAAAUAAUGACAUUUGCAGCAAUAUGGAUGGACCUAGAGAUUAUCAUACUAAGUGAAGUAAGUCAGACAAAGAAAGACAAAUACGAUGAUAUCAUUCAUAUGUGGAAUCUAAUUUUAAAAAAUGAUACAAAUGAAGUUAUUUACAAAACAGAAACAGACUCUCAGAUUUUGAAAACAAACUUAUGGUUACCAAAGGGGAAAUGUUGGGGAGAGGGAUAAAUUAGAAGUUGGGGAUUAACAUACACACACUACUAUAUAUAAAACAGAUAACCAACAAGGACCUACUGUAUAACACAGGGAACUCUACUCAGUAUUCUCUAAUAACCUGUAUGGGUAAAGAAUCUGGAAAAGAAUGAAUAUAUGUGUAUGUAUAACUGAAUCACUUUGCUGUACACCUAAAACUAACACAACAUUGUA